Equus caballus (horse) is the source of this 2985-nucleotide long non-coding RNA. The record is from Ensembl. Lineage: Eukaryota; Metazoa; Chordata; Mammalia; Perissodactyla; Equidae.
GUGAGAUUGAAUUUCUUGUCCGAGUUUUAUUGGUUAUUUGCAUUUCUUCCUGUAUCAGUUGCGUGUUCACGUCCUUUGCCCUUUUCCAUUAGUCUAUUUUUAAAUCAAUCUGUAGGCUCUCUUUGUGUACUAGUUCUACUAACCUAUUGGUCACAUGUGUUAAAAGUGCUUUGUCCGCUCUAUUGUUUUUUGUUUUGGCUUGGUUUUCUUUGUGGUAAUUUUUAUCAUACGUGUUUAAAAAAUAGUAGCCCAAUAUGUCAAUCUUUUCCUUUACAGUUUUUGGAUUUUGUGCCUUCUUAAGAAGGACUCCUUAUCCUCAAAGUUUUCAAGGAGUCUCCUAAUAUUGACACAGAAUACCCUCAUCAUAUGUGAUUUUCCUCUUUUCUUGUGGUGUUCUUCUUCUUUGCCUUGGUAGGCACCCACAGAGAUGGGUUAUUUCCCUCCUGCAGCCUGGCGGUACCUCCGACUCUCAGGGACUCUGCCAUUGACUGGAGACUCCUACUUGACUGGAGUGGUGCAUUUAGUGAUUUGUGCCAAGCAGGAGCCAAUAGUACUAUGCCUAGACUCUGGUGAAUGGUGAACGGGGAUAUGGAUGGAGAGGCAGAGGAGGAGGGCAGGGAAGUGUGACUGAAGCCAGGUAGUGCAUGGAAUUCAACAUCCUACAGUGGAAUUGGAGUGGAAUAGGGUGGGUGCUGAGGGCCUGCUUCUGGGAAGACCUCAGCUGCUCACUUCAUGUUGGGUCAGAGUGGCCAGUGCCUCUGUCUCUUGGAAUGAUAAACCUCAUAGAAUGUAAGGAAAAUUGGAGAUUUCUACCUCUAGGGUUGGAAGGCAAUGAACCCCUUCCUUGUUAGUGCUAACAGUGUGAAUAUUCAGCCUUUUCCUAUGCUUAUAAGUGCAUGUGAACAAGAGGCUGCAUUUCCUCUGUUCCCAUUCCCUCCUGGAUACCAGCAACACUCAUUACUUUCCCAGGUGUGGGGCUUGGGCCCUGCACUCUGCCCCUGUCCACGGUGCUGGAGACGCUCUUUAGACACUUACUUCUGGAUAAAGACCUUGAUAGACACCAGACCAUUAGGCAGCCCAUGGAUCAAAUAGUGGUUGAGCAGGCCAAACUUUCCACCUGACCCUAAGCAACCAUAUGUGAGAUUGAACAUCAGUGAUGAGCAGCUCUUGUUUGGGGAAUGCGUGAGGCACCCAUAUGAAGCUAAGUGUAGGGGAGGAACCCACAGGCUGCUGUGGCCGGUCACCUACUCCUGGUGCUUCCCUUUGAUCCUUUGCCUUUACAACCUGGAAACCCACCACCACCUCUAUCACCUAAAAGAUUCAAACCUUCUGCUGUGCUGUGGAGUAACAUAAUUCUGCCACAGAAUUUAGCUCUAUCUUUUGUCUCAUUCCUGAAAUCUUACGCAAGAAUCUUGAGUGGAGUAUUUCUACCAGACCUCAGGAGAGCUGGCUUCAUUCAGAUCAAAAAUGACGGGCCUACCCUCCCCUCACUCUUAGUCUCUCUUCCUCCUCUCAAGUCUCCAUUUAGGACACACUUCCCUUCCUGGGACUGGAAACCCUCUCUAGAACAUGAUGCUUUUCUAUUUUUCCUCUAGCUCCAUUUGCAUGGCAAAAUUUGGGCAAGAAUUUCCCAUGUAAUUAGCUCCUUAGAGUCAGGAAACCACGCCUGCUUCCUAUCUAGUUCAGGGAAGAGGUUUAUUACAGGGAAAGGAGAAAUUUGGAAGGAGACUGGGGAAGUGUAAGUAGAGGCAAUGGAGAAAAACCAGGAGACAGUGGAAGCACAGAAACCAAAGGAAGAAAGAAUGACAAGAAGGAGGACGUUCCCUAUGCUUGGAAAAGGAAAUCUCCCCGGCAGAGAUGAAGAGAAAGAUGGACACUUCAAGGUGCCUGCUCCUUUUGUGUUCCUAAAUGGAGCAGUGCCUGCCAAGGAGUGGCAGGGUGGGGUGGGCAAGGUUAACAGUGGGGCAGGCCCAGUAGGAAGGAGUAUUUUAUUACUGCAUCAUUUCGAAUUGCUGGUGCAUGGUGACAACAGAAAUCAGACCAACUUGGUUCUAUUAUUGUUUUUAAAUUCUUUACCAACAAGCCAUUCUGUUAUUGCUUGCACCCAGGGUGGACCACUCCCACCUUCCAACACUCCUGAAGUACACCAGUGAAAUGGAGGAACCCAGUGUGACCCUUUUAUUUGUCCAAUAUGGAUGAGUUUGGGACAGGCCCAAAUCUGGAAGUGAGGAGAACUCUAAAGUUGUCUGCAUAUUAAAGGAGAUUAUUGAUUCUUAAGCAUGCCUGAAGGAGAGUCAAGCCUGACUUAGAAAAUGAGAAGCAGGAAAUAUUUAAGAGGAGAAUGCCUAGAAAUAGGGUGAUGUGAACUCUCUCCAUCACCCCAAACCUUUGGGAAAAGACCUGUGGAUUGGCUUGAGGUUGGGAUGGAUGGCAAAUCAUGGAAAUGGGGCAGAGAACAGAGAACAGUCCAUCACAGAAAAUAAACACAAGUGAUAUUAAGAUUUCAUGGAGAACUAGGACUCAGAGCCAAGGAGACUAUGAAGAAUCUGCAGGAAUCUUGGAGAUGGCAUCGGACUUCACGUAGUGUCUCAUGUGCAGAGCCUUGUUCCAAGAGGAGAGGGCACACCAUGCCACACAUGGCCCCGUGGGGAAGCACCAGGUCAGCCCUGAAGAAGAGGAGGAAAUUGUGGGAGGCUGCCACAGCAUGGCUUGAUGAAUGGUGUUGGUCUGCACCUGGGAUCCGAACCUGAGAACCUGGGCCGCCAAAGCAGAAUGCACCAAACUUAACUGCUACGCCACUGAGCUGGCCCCGCAGGCUAAAAAGUUUUAAUACACCCUUUUGACACUUUCCUCAACAAUAACCCUGUUGCCACAUUUACUUCACUAUCACCCAAAUGUAAACUGAGGCUUUACUGAUGUAUAUAAUCACUCCAUUAUUCUACGGGAUGGUAUGAGUAAGUGAGGAGUAUUUAUGCUGGUUGGCGG